Molecule: ribosomal RNA, 255 nt
Filed under: uncultured bacterium
Lineage: Bacteria
Description: partial 16S ribosomal RNA
Rfam family: Bacterial small subunit ribosomal RNA
Source: RNAcentral
UACGUAGGGGGCAAGCGUUUGUCCGGAUUUAUUGGGCGUAAAGAGCGUGUAGGCGGCCACACAGGUCAGCUGUGAAAACUCGAGGCUCAACCUCGAGACGUCGGUUGAAACCGUAUGGCUAGAGUCCGGAAGAGGAGAGUGGAAUUCCCGGUGUAGCGGUGAAAUGCGCAGAUAUCGGGAGGAACACCUGUGGCGAAAGCGGCUCACUGGACCGCAACUGACGCUGAGGCGCGAAAGCUAGGGGAGCAAACAGGG